UACGAAGGGUGCUAGCGUUGUUCGGAAUUACUGGGCGUAAAGCGCGCGUAGGCGGCGAUAAAAGUCAGGGGUGAAAUCCCAGAGCUCAACUCUGGAAUUGCCUUUGAAACUGUAUUGCUAGAGUGUCGGAGGGGAUAGCGGAAUUGCUAAUGUAGAGGUGAAAUUCGUAGAUAUUAGCAGGAACACCGGUGGCGAAGGCGGCUAUCUGGACGACAACUGACGCUGAGGCGCGAAGGCGUGGGGAUCAAACAGG
RNAcentral lists this ribosomal RNA (253 nucleotides) under uncultured bacterium. RNAcentral describes it as "partial 16S ribosomal RNA". It matches the Rfam family "Bacterial small subunit ribosomal RNA", at positions 524 to 776 of the family's 1533-position model. The record is from RNAcentral.